This 301-nucleotide ribosomal RNA is filed under the name uncultured bacterium. RNAcentral describes it as "partial 16S ribosomal RNA". It matches the Rfam family "Bacterial small subunit ribosomal RNA", at positions 509 to 807 of the family's 1533-position model. The record is from RNAcentral.
CAGUCGCCACGGUAAUACGUAGGGUGCAAGCGUUAUCCGGAAUUAUUGGGCGUAAAGAGCUCGUAGGCGGUUUGUCGCGUCUGCUGUGAAAACUGGAGGCUCAACCUCCAGCCUGCAGUGGGUACGGGCAGACUAGAGUGCGGUAGGGGAGAUUGGAAUUCCUGGUGUAGCGGUGGAAUGCGCAGAUAUCAGGAGGAACACCGAUGGCGAAGGCAGAUCUCUGGGCCGUAACUGACGCUGAGGAGCGAAAGCGUGGGGAGCGAACAGGAUUAGAUACCCCGGUAGUCCCUGUCUCUUAUAC